UACGUAGGGACCAAGCGUUGUUCGGAUUUACUGGGCGUAAAGGGCGCGUAGGCGGCUUAACAAGUCACUUGUGAAAUCUCCGGGCUUAACUCGGAACGGCCAAGUGAAACUGUCAAGCUAGAGUGCAGAAGGGGCAAUCGGAAUUCUUGGUGUAGCGGUGAAAUGCGUAGAUACCAAGAGGAACACCUGAGGUGAAGACGGGUUGCUGGGCUGACACUGACGCUGAGGCGCGAAAGCCAGGGGAGCAAACGGG
This 253-nucleotide ribosomal RNA is filed under the name uncultured bacterium. RNAcentral's name for it is "partial 16S ribosomal RNA". It matches the Rfam family "Bacterial small subunit ribosomal RNA", at positions 524 to 776 of the family's 1533-position model. The record is from RNAcentral.